Molecule: ribosomal RNA, 425 nt
Filed under: uncultured bacterium
Lineage: Bacteria
Description: bacterial SSU rRNA
Rfam family: Bacterial small subunit ribosomal RNA
Source: RNAcentral
GUGGGGAGUAUUGGACAAUGGGGGAAACCCUGAUCCAGCCAUGCCGCGUGAGUGAAGAAGGCCUUAGGGUUGUAAAGCUCUUUCGCACGCGACGAUGAUGACGGUAGCGUGAGAAGAAGCCCCGGCUAACUUCGUGCCAGCAGCCGCGGUAAUACGAAGGGGGCAAGCGUUGUUCGGAUUUACUGGGCGUAAAGGGCGCGUAGGCGGAACGACAAGUCAGAGGUGAAAGCCCUGGGCUCAACCCGGGAAUUGCCUUUGGGACUGCCGUUCUAGAGUUCGGAAGAGGAUGGCGGAAUACCCAGUGUAGAGGUGAAAUUCGUAGAUAUUGGGUAGAACACCGGUGGCGAAGGCGGCCAUCUGGUCCGACACUGACGCUGAGGCGCGAAAGCGUGGGGAGCAAACAGGAUUAGAUACCCUUGUAGUCC